UACGAAGGGGGCUAGCGUUGCUCGGAAUGACUGGGCGUACAGGGCGCGUAGGCGGUUCAUACAGUCAGAUGUGAAAUUCCUGGGCUCAACCUGGGGGCUGCAUUUGAUACGUGUGGACUAGAGUGGGGAAGAGGGUCGUGGAAUUCCCAGUGUAGAGGUGAAAUUCGUAGAUAUUGGGAAGAACACCGGUGGCGAAGGCGGCGACCUGGUCCUUGACUGACGCUGAGGCGCGAAAGCGUGGGGAGCAAACAGG
RNAcentral lists this ribosomal RNA (253 nucleotides) under uncultured bacterium. Its description in RNAcentral is "partial 16S ribosomal RNA". It matches the Rfam family "Bacterial small subunit ribosomal RNA", at positions 524 to 776 of the family's 1533-position model. The record is from RNAcentral.